GUCCUAGCCGUAAACUAUGGGCACUAAGUGGGGGAGGUUACUUCCUCGCCGGAGCGAAAGCAUUAAGUGCCCCGCCUGGGGAGUAUGACCGCAAGGUUGAAACUCAAAGGAAUUGACGGGGGCUCGCACAAGCGGUGGAGCAUGUGGUUUAAUUCGAUGCAACGCGAAGAACCUUACCUGGGCUUGACAUGAUAGGAUUAGUCUUGUGAAAGCAAGAUGACGCCUCGAAAGGGGUGGAACUACCACAGGUGUUGCAUGGCUGUCGU
RNAcentral lists this ribosomal RNA (266 nucleotides) under uncultured bacterium. RNAcentral describes it as "partial 16S ribosomal RNA". It matches the Rfam family "Bacterial small subunit ribosomal RNA", at positions 793 to 1055 of the family's 1533-position model. The record is from RNAcentral.